GACGAACGCUGGCGGCGUGCUUAACACAUGCAAGUCGAACGGAAAGGCCCUGCUUUUGUGGGGUGCUCGAGUGGCGAACGGGUGAGUAACACGUGAGUAACCUGCCCUUGACUUUGGGAUAACUUCAGGAAACUGGGGCUACUACCGGAUAGGAGCUCCUGCUGCAUGGUGGGGGUUGGAAAGUUUCGGCGGUUGGGGAUGGACGCGCGGCUUAUCAGCUUGUUGGUGGGGUAGUGGCUUACCAAGGCUUUGACGGGUAGCCGGCCUGAGAGGGUGACCGGCCACAUUGGGACUGAGAUACGGCGCAGACGCCUACGGGAGGCAGCAGGGGGGAGUAUGGCACAAUGGGCGGAAGCCUGAUGCAGCAACGCCGCGUGCGGGAUGACGGCCUUCGGGUUGUAAACCGCUUUCGGCUGUGACGAAGCGUGAGUGACGGUAAUGGGUAAAGAAGCACCGGCUAACUACGUG
RNAcentral lists this ribosomal RNA (468 nucleotides) under uncultured bacterium. RNAcentral's name for it is "partial 16S ribosomal RNA". It matches the Rfam family "Bacterial small subunit ribosomal RNA", at positions 28 to 507 of the family's 1533-position model. The record is from RNAcentral.